Molecule: long non-coding RNA, 16255 nt
Filed under: Oryza sativa (Asian cultivated rice)
Lineage: Eukaryota; Viridiplantae; Streptophyta; Magnoliopsida; Poales; Poaceae
Description: long non-coding RNA (OSAT_LNC001457)
Rfam family: tRNA (bases 7479-7550)
Source: RNAcentral
AAAAAAAAUAAAAUUUACAUAAUCGAUAUAGCACCACUCUAACAAUAAAAACUGAAGCAUUUGUCAGAAGUAAUAACAAAUUUAGCAAGGGUCCAAAUACCCUUGAUGAUGAAGCAUGGUAAUAAUCAAAUAUCCCGAAAUAGCAGACAGCUUAUUGACUAAAUGAAUAAUUCAAAUGUGUGUCCUGAUGCCUGAGGUUGGCUACACAAAAUAAGUUUGCCGGUGAGCCAUUUCAUCAUUCCUACUUUAUAUUGCCAAUUUGCCAUGUUUGUUUUGCCUUUCAUUCUCAUAUCCAUUGAUGAAUGAAUAAAAUGAUUAUGGAGUAUCAUACUUCUACAGAGCAUUUUAUUUAUAUUGCAACUGGUGAAUGCUGAAGUUUGAAGGUAACAUUAGUUCCUGUGCUUUACGAAAAAUCGAAAUUGAUAGCAUAUGCAACUUAGUUGCUAAGCAGUCCAAGUCUCCCUUCUGUAGCAGUCGGUGGCAAGUUGAUGCAAAUAAGAAUGCAAGCAUAUACUCUGAAAAACACUCAUAUAGUGACUCUGUGGAACAGCAGUCUUAUACUGCUUACAUACACAGUGGUAGAGCACACUCAAACCAGGCAAAAGUCAGUGAGAAGGAGCCGACACCAACAUACUUUUGUCUUGAAAGAACAUACAGACCUUUUGUAUAUUUUUCAUCCUUUACUUGACAAUAGUGUGGUGUACCAUCAUCAUGUGCUUAUUGACAACCCAAAUGUGAACUGUGAGGUACUGAUGCAAGAUUCCAACAAAUGCAAAAGAAGAGGCAUACCUGUAAGUUUGGUGUUCUUGCUGACAAGCGUCCUGUUUCAGUAUUGAUAUUUAAUGAACAGUGAAUGCGCCCUUCCUUGCAUGAUAUACGAUCUCCCUAUCAUGGAUAAAGAGCAGUCAAGACUCAAACAGUAGGUGCAACUUAGAAGUUAAGUGCAGUUAGCUGAGACUAUUGGUAUCAUGCACCAAGUAUACACCAUAGUUGUCCCUCACACAAACAACACAAGUUGGAUCAGCACCAAGACUACAGUAGUAGCACCAUUAAGCCUCAAAAUAUAUAAUCAAAACAGACCAAGUGAUCAUGGUAUAAACAAAGUAUUAAAUUAUCAAAUUAAGAUAUCAAACAGCACUAAUCGAAAGAACCAAAUUUCAAACUUGAUGGACUGAAAAUGCAUUUAACUGAAUUCCAUGCUCUCCCUACAAAAAUUGCAUGCUGACCAAAUCACCACAUUUAUGGUGCAUGCUGCAGCCCCAAAGUUUCAAGAGCGUGAGGUGAAAGAACAUUGGAGCUGUCAGGACUCAGGACACAUAACACCAGCACAAAUUGAUUUGCAUUAUCAUUUAUAAGUACAUGCAAUGAGUGAUGUCUUAAGAAUGGCAACUUCAAUCAGCAUGACUAAGAUCCUGGCUCACCUGCAAUGGAACAAUGAAGCCGGAUAUCAAUUUGUCAAUAGAAAAGACUUCACAUAGAGCAGCAAUGGCAUGACAUGCUUCCCUUCCCUUCUUUCCUCCACCAAACGCUUCAUAUGCAGUUCCAUAUGGGGAAGUGUCUUCUAUAUCCUGCUCAGGAAGUUCCAAACUGCUCCCAUCUUCAUCAAACUCUUGGCCAUCAUCAAUUUUAUAUAUAUGAUCUGUGGGUAUUUUACCAGCCAAACUCCUUAAAACGUCCCCACUGACUGAAGGCCAACCAGUCGGGGUGAACAUAUCAAUUUUAAGAUCUUCCACAAUAGUGAAAAGUUUGAUUGUGCGAGACUUUGGAGUCUUCUUGCCCUCUGUAGCUAUGCCUUCAUCAUUUGGCACUUUAAAAGUUUUACUUUGUGGCCAAGUUUCACCACGCUUAUUUCUGUGACAAAGAUUGUGAAGUUGACAAGAAUUAUACAUAAGCAAUGAUAAGCAGGUAAAUGUAAAGAAAACAAUCAUUUUUACAGGAAAUACGCACAAGCAAUAACUCACAGUUACUACUUUUUCUUUGAAAUUACAUAAAGGAAAUACCUAGCACAAAUAGAAGGCAAAGAUAGAUUCCCUCGUUUUCCACCACUUGUUGAUAUGAAGAAUUAUUCAUGUCUUGGAGUGUUGGACACACAAGAACAAUUGCUAACCAGUUUAAACCAUGCAUAGACCAAUGCAUAUAAGAACAGCAAGCAAUUAUUGGUUUUAACACAUAUUAAUGAUAUCCUUUUACAGUGGUUUCUAAAUGACAUGCAUUCAAAAAGAUAUCCUGGCAUAAAGUAUAUACAAAUCAAGCAGACAUCAAAGAGAUUAUACAAGGUGGUAGGAAUACCUAUUUUCGAUGCCACCAAAGAAAAGUUGGCGAAUUUGAUUAUCACUAUUCACAUUCAUGUACUUGGCAUCAGGACAAUGCUUAGAUGCCCAUUUCCGAAACUUAUCCGCUGCUAAUUCUCGUUCAGUAACAGCAGCUUUCUCAAUCUCCGAAAGGUAUGCACGGUCAACAAGCACUCCCUCUGUUUCCAUCUUUACAAGAAGAGCACCAAAGGGACGCCAAUACUCUUCGUAGAAAUCAUACAUUGUUCCUCUAGGACAAUCAUCGAAAAUCCAUUCCUUUGCUUCAAGCUUGUUUUUCAAGCUUUCAUAAAGCUUCAAUGUACUCAUUGAAUCUAGUGAGGAAUAGCAAAUCCACAACUCUCUAUCCUCCCUUUGUAACUUUUCGACUGGCUCGAUAGAUAUGGUUUUCCCUUCAGAUCCAUCUUUUCUAACCUUUUUCCGGCCAAAGAUAGUUUUCAUUGACACCUUCCCAGUUUUAGGUAUGUCCUUUAGAACAGCAUCCAUGACUCUGUAAUCAUUUGUUAGUCCUUCAAGUGAAUAUCCACCAUCAGUUCUCCUGGAAGAAUCCCACAGGCGUGCAAGAUGCAUCGUAUCAGCAUGAAAUCCAGCAACCUUGAUUCCACAGUUCUCAAUGACAUGGAUAUCAAAACUAUAGUUAUGCCAAACCUACAUGAUGAGGAGAAAGAACAGAUCACUUCAGACAAGCCAAGAAGAAACAAAUACGUAGUAUAAUAAUAAUUGAUGGGUAAUGACCAAUCUGUAGUUUUAUUCCGAACUGCACAGUUCAAAGAUUGAUUGAAGACUGAAUCUACUAAUUAGCAUAUUAAUUUCAUACUCCCUCUGGGCUCCAGUCACGAAAACAUGCCGUUUUGGACAUACAUUAAGUUGAACAAUCAGAACUUUGACCAUCAAUAUCUUCAAAAUAUUUAAUCUUGGUAUAUGAAACUCAUAUGUGUAUAUUUGUCACCAAAAUUACUACCCCCUCCAGUCACAAAAAAACAUCUCGUUUUGGACAUGUUUGAAGUCAAACUUUAAAAAUGUUCUUAUCAAUAUCUUUUAACUAAUUAGAUUGGACACAUGAAAAUUGUACUUGUAGAUUUUUCUCAAAAAAUACUUCCACAAUAUUAGAACUAUAUUGGGUUCUUUUAGCAUUUUGUAAUAGAACAUAGUUUUUGUGACCAGAAUAUCAUAAUAUUACAAUUUUAUAGGGUCAUACAAUUGAUACUACAAAUAUACUAUAACAUAAAUAAGUUGUCAAAGUUGUAUUUUGGGGACUGUGUCAAUGUCUAAAACAUGUUUCUUUUUUCUAAGCGAAGUAGUAGGAAAUAUGGGGCUCGGGUACGAAAAUGUGAAUCUAUUCAAUCUUUACCUAUUAUAUUAUAAAAAUUGAAGAUGAUUUUGUACUCAAAAUUUUCGUCCAUCCUCUACUCAGUUACCGCAUUAGUCUUUGACUCUUUGUACACAGCGCACGUCCGCCCUUUUUCAGUACAGCAGUACACGAGUGAGGGAAUUCUAGCUCCACCCAGCCAGGUCUUUUUCCUGCUGACCCUACCUGGGCCGGCUGUGGCUGCAUUGACCGAUCGUGAAUUCAUGGCCUACUUAGAUCAGAUGGGUCUACUGUCCCAAGCUAGCCAUGAAGCUCUUCACCUCUCUGGUGAUGAACAGUUCCCGCGUGAACAGUGGCUGAGGUGAAAGUUGUUCCCUUGUGAUUUUCAAAAAUAGAUGUUUUUUCUCCAUCUCUUCCCAUUUUUAUAAAUAUUUUAUUCAUGACUUUUUGGACCUGGUACACCACUAAUGAGUCACAUGUCACAUCAAUCCUUCUACACGGUAUCAAUCUACCAUGUGUCUUUCGGCUCUUCCCUUAGUGUAGUCCAAGUCCUCACUAUUAACUAAGAUUUACUCCAAGCCUCCUACAAAUCAAAUAGACUACCAUACCAAGAUUUUUUAUGACCUGACUCAUGUUGGUCGACGCAAGCACACAUGCGCUAUUGCACGAAAGAAAUACACUCCAUAACUUCAAAACUAAACACCAUCACCAUGUUAGAAAUGAUGUCAUUUUUUUGUUACAAUUAUAUUCAUCGAUCAUACCCACAUGAUUUCAUAGUUCAUUAGGUGAUGGACCGGUAGCUACAGCCGAGUUUAAACAGUUAAUUUUGUUCAGUUAUUUGCAAGUUGCCUUCACUCGUUGCAACGCACAGGAAUUUUUUCUAGGCAGGGAAAAAUGGAACAUAUAAAGACAGUAUGUCAGAGCACAGAAGGGUCUGUCUAAAACAGCAAUCUUAAGGUAGUCCAUUUACAUUAUCACUCUUGGGUAGGGUUUAGCAGGUAGCCAGGUAGGAUUUUGUUUUUCAUUUUUUGGUUAUAAACCCACAACUUUAUGGUGCUGACAAUCAGGUGAAAUGCAUAAUUAUAAAAUAGUGAACUAUAUCUAGUUAUUUUCAAUGUUUAGCAUAAGUUUACGAGUGAUAGGAAAUGGUGUUUAGUGCAGUUUGCUGCAACUAAGGCCUAAUCUAAAAGAAGUAAUGUAAUUAUAGUAGUAAUAGAAGAGGGAAAAGGAACUAUGGCACUAAUACAUUUCAUCCAACACAUAAAGGGAGAAGAUAACCACAAUAAAUUUACUCCAAGAUAAAUGAGGAAUCGAAGUGAACCUUUUUGAUAAAUGGGUCCUCAAAGAAAGGAGCAAACUCCAUUAGAACAUCCCUUCCACCAUCUAGCACAUCCACCCAUAUGCAUGUUUUACCAUUUCCAAAAUCAGCCUCCCCAUCAGAAUUUCCUGAACAGAUGCUAAAGCAUAUUACUUCUCCGUGACCAACUGGUGUCUCUUCUUUGACAUCAAUAUUUGCCACCUGUAUAAUAUUGUACUAUCCUAAAUUAGAAUGUAUGUUUGGAGCUUGAUACGCAAUAAAACUGUAAAUAAUUCUGAGCAAAGCUUGCUACCACAGAAGUAGACUAUGAGCAUGUCAAACCAUGUAACUAGAAGAAACCAAUAAUUAGCAUUAGCAUUUAAUAUUUUACAUUCUUCAUGACAUCUCCUGUAAACUCUGCAACUUACAUUUUCAGAGAAGAUACAUAGGGAAAAAAAGGCACAAUCUAACAACAAACACUUGAGGUCAGCAAUAAUUGAUGACCAAACAAGAUACUAUAGUAUCACCUAUCAGAAAUAUACUUCUUAUUGAUACUCUCACAAUUAUGAGGGAAAACCUAAAUAACAUAGCCAAAACUGAUAUACCGAUGAUAGAACUCAAGCAGGGUUUGGCGAAAUACCUCCGUGUCACAUGCAUGAAUAAAGCCUUUGUACUUUGUAGUAAGCAAUUUAACAACACUCCUAGCUGACUCAACAUUGUCGACAACCAAAACUUUGUCAUAGAUGGUAGCAAGCAACUUCCGUGCAUUUUUUGACUCAGUGGACAAGGAAGCUUUGUCCGGGAAAUUUGGCGUCACCUUCCUUGUAAUGCGUUUGUGCUCCUUUUUGUCUGGGAUAGCUUUAUCAACCACCAAAGUUUUCUCUGACUUGGAAACUUUAGGCAGAGAAGAUUCCAUCGUAACGGAAUCGUGCCAAGGAAUUUCCUCCUUGGAGCCAUCAAGCAUGUUCAGUGGUUUGAUAUCAUUAUUAACAACACUGAAUGGGGCAGGCACAGCAUGUGCUGACUGAUACAUCACACGAUGCUUAGCCAAAUCUGUAUCGACAUGUCUAUUUACAAUUGAAUUAGAUGGUCCUCUUUCUCUUUGAUUAUACAAGGAAGGAUAGUUUGAACUCCUGAUAUCUUCUGAGGGAUCAUGACGCAGAUUUCCAACCCGCAGAGGAGUAGUGCCAUUAGUGAUGUUGUUUCUGACACUGUUUGUGGUCCUGAGGAAAAAUAACCUCUUGGUUUCAUCAACCCAUUCUUGCACACUACUUUGUACAUUUAAGUUGCCAUACAAUCCAAGCCUGAAAGCACCGGUUUUGCUAACCCCCAUGCCUGAACUAGGAGAAUAAUCUUGCCUGCCAACGAGAACCAUUUGCAAAGUUCAGAAGCACCCAAGAUCCCAAGCAAUGUGAAAUCAUCAAGUAAUAAGGCAAAAGCGCGGCAUUCAGGAUAGUGACAGUAGAACCUAGUUACUCUUUGGCAGAUUACUAUUAUCGGGCAAUUCGUACUUCUGUAGUAAUAAUUGUAUGGCUAUAAGAAGUGGAAUGUGACUACAUAAGGAAUGCUUAGAUCUCUUAAAACAAAAUAAAAAUAUAUAUAAGGAUUAAGGAAUGCUAAUCGACACUAGCUCAAAUGAGGAGACAUAUCCGAAGUCCUACACAGUCUAGAUAAAUCAUCACAUUAGAACAUGCGAAAAAUAUGCAUACACCCAUCCAUUAACCAAAACAUCAUUUACUCCCUCCGUUUCACAAUGUAAGUCAUUCUAGCAUUUCCCACAUUCAUAUUAAUGUUAAUGAAUAUAGACAUAUAUAUUUAUCUAGAUUUAUUAACAUCAAUAUGAACGUGGGAAAUACUAUAAUGACUUACAUUGUGAAACGGAGGAAGUAUUAUUUUUCAUCACGAAUUAGGCACUACGGAACAUCUUAACAACUACUAGCAAAGAAAAAGGCUUAUGCAAUACACACAAAUAAACAGUACGGCUACCUUCCUCCCGCGGCGAAGGCCGGGCGCGACAAGUAGCGGGUGCGGCGGAAGGGAGAGGACAGCCACGGCGGCGGCCGCGGCGAAGACCCCUUCCACCGCCGUAGCUGCCGCGCCGGUGCCGGCGGCAGCGGCGGCGCCACCGCCAUGGACCUCACGAGCCGCCUCAGCUUGGACCCCGCCCGCCUCCCUCCUCCUCCUCCCGCAACGCCACCACCCACCCCGCAACCGAAGCCGCAGGGCGCCGUCUUGCACCGACGCAAGGGUAGGCCGCUGCAGCAGCAGGCGGUGGCCUCGCGGCGGCGGCGGCGGCGGCCGGAGGCGGAAGCGAGGGGAAGGAGAGAGGGUUUGGGAGACAAGGGGGACCAGGGUUUAAGCGGCGGCUGCACCUGCACUACUCGGCUUGGACCCUGGAGGCUUCGGCGGAUUACGCCUCCGUUGAAUGAAGGCGUAGAAGAACCCGUGUCUAACGAACUGAAGGCGUAAAAUCCGUUGCUCACUAUUCGUGUACAAGGCGUAUUUCUGAUUUCGAUGGUUUUAGUUGCUUAAUUAAUGUUAAAUUGAACAUCUUAACAAGGCCGGAUCCGUGGCGCAAUGGUAGCGCGUCUGACUCCAGAUCAGAAGGUUGCGUGUUCGAUUCACGUCGGGUUCAAAAUCCCCGAACCAAGUCCGGAAAUAUUUUUUUUAUUUUUCCAACAAAAUCCUUUUAUCCAUUUAUCCAUUAUAGUUUUCAGUGCUACUUUUAUUUUUUUUAGAAUCUUCAUGAUCAGAGAUUUUUUUAAAGUUCUCCUAACACGAAAGAAACACAGAUUAGAUUCUAAUGUAUACAAGCUUUGGCUUUUCUUACAUCAGUGGUGGUCUCCUAGUGCUCUUAACAACCUUCUCAUUAUAAGAAGAGGGAAGAAGCAAUAGUUUCCCCGUCAACAAGAAGUUGUACCAUCUUCUUCUCCACCAAUAUAUUCAACCAGUAAGGAAGAGUCUUGCCUUUAUUAAGAUGGUCAUAUAUGGGUAGAGAAGAAGAUAUAUACAACUUCUUGUUGAUGAAAAUUGUUGUUGUUUCCAUGUCCUUAUAAAGAGAAGGUUAUCAACAUAAGCAGGCAUUCAAAUGGUGUAAAAAAGACCACAUUAUGUAGGCACUUGAAUGUAACCUUUUACUGUUCUAGCGGUUGAACCUCCUUUUCUCCCAAAGACGUGAGACUACUAAGGGCAUGCCCAACGCAGUGACCCAGGUCGUGGGUUCAAGCUUCAGCUAGGCUCAGAUACCAUGCUUGAGGUUUGUGAGUGGCUAGAGUGCUUUCUGCAAGCCACGAGUAGCCCCGAUGAAAAGGAGGUGGUCCAAAUAAGAAAUAUGGAGAGAGAUAAAGGAGUAUGUGCGAGGAUGGACUGACUAACCAAGGGAUGCCACCACCGUCAACCAGGAAAUGUUACCGCAGUCAACCAGAUCCAGCGAGCGGUUGUUGCAGCCACAGAGGGGGACUUGACCAUGGCCUGAUCUGGUGAACAGUUGUUGCCGCCACGGAGGAGGACUUGGCCAUGGCCUGAUCUAGCAAGUACAUGGCAUCCAUCGGCUUGAGCAGCCCUGCGUCGCCACAAAGCUCAUCAACCCUAGCCACCAACGAUCUAUGCAACGAUGGAGCUCGUCACCCCAAGCCAUGGCCUGGACGUGGUCGACGGUGCCGACUAGGAAUGAGAGGAUAUUAGCGGGAGAGAAAGAGCAAGCAAUGACUGGAGAAGAGUCGUCGAGGUAUCGUUGUCUUUAAUUUGGUCGUUGAUUUGGAUGGGGGAGAAGUGAGGAGGGGGUUAGAGAGAAGGGAGGCGAGGACGAGGUGGGCAGAGGCACGGCGGUGAUGGGCUAGGGGCGCAAAGAUGGGUUUCUACGAGAGAGAGAGAUAAGGACGGGGUGGGGAAGAACGAUCUUUUCAUGGAGAGAGAGAGAGAGAGAGGGGGGGGAGAAAAGUGGGGAAAGUGUUUUUGGUAGUGGCCCCCCAAGUAUCAAUGAUUUAUGAACAAUGGUUUUGAUGGUAGUUCCAACAACUUUUGCCAACGUGAAGGUUGGAACCAUUGGUUGAGACUAUGAUACAUUGCUCAUUCCUAAUAGAACAAAAUGUCAGAUAUGCGGUGUUUAGACUCCUGAGUCAGUAAGGUAAUUAGUGGCUUAAUAAAAAGACGUGGUAAAAAUUUUAGUAGCAUAUAAGGUAUUUACCAAUAAAGAAUUGGGAAUUACUAUUGGACAUUCGCCUACUUUCUCGAUCUAUCACAAGCACAUCCCUUUUUUCCAUUAGAUUCGCACGGAGAUGUGUGGGCUGCCAGAGUUGUCUUGGCAAGCUCGUGAGCAAAAGCCACAACACCAUCUUCUCUGAUGAGUUUCUAAUAAGGAGGACGGACAUGAGGUUCCCUUGGCUUAGAGGGGAUGCCCAUAGUGGACCAAAGGGUGGUGGCUAGGUGGUGGUUUCACAGCGAAUUCAUGGACUCAAGGGUGAGACAGGUGUUAGAGGCAACGGGCAUAAACGAAAACCUAAGCAGCUAGGAGAAAAUGGGAAGCUAUGGUACACAAUGUUUUCCUCUUCCAUGAUAUAUAGAGAAUGUUGACAGAGCACGGAUAGUAGAAGGUCUUGUUGGAGCCGAGAAAUGUCACAUUACCAUUCACUCAAGCCUAUGUUUUCAUUCCAUUGGUUGAACCCUUCUCUUGAAUACGUAUGUACCACUUCUACAAUAAUAAAUAACUUGCUUUAUUUCUUCAUUCACGUGGACCACAACUCAAUUCCUGUUGCUUUGUUGUUAGCAUGAGUACUAACCCUUAUGGGAGCCCAAAAAUAUCAUGUUAAACAUAUGCUUAACUUUUUCUCAAAUGGUUGAAACACGUUGUUUACAUACAUAGGGACCAUUACUAGAAUAAUAAUAAACAACUUAUCUUGUUUCUUAUUCACGGAUCCCAUGGUUCAGCCUUCACUGCUAUUCCUCACCUAGUGCACUGCCACCUAGUUGUAAGGGAUUAUCUUACUACUACUUGAAAAGUAAUUUUAUAACGGAAGAUGCUUUACGUUGUUGGCUUAUACACCAAAUAUGUAACCUAGCCUAGAAUUAGAAAUAAAUGAAAAUAAAUCAAAUAACUUAAAACAGUGGGACAAACCCAGAACAUGCUAUAGAUAGUAAACAAGUGAAGAAGUGUCAAAAGAAAAACAAUAAAUGAGAAAACCCGAAAAACAAUAAAUGAGGAAACCCCUCCUGCUGGAAGAUACCAGCACACACUGUAGAAACACACAGCCCUGCCCCUUCAGUUGUGCUCUUCAGUUCUACAUGUAAAGUCUGCAACUCAGGAUAAACAAAUUCAUCAGCCAAUCUAAGAUAUUGGAGGAAACCAAACUAGAUAAACAGAGUUUCUAGUUUGAUUCCCUCCAAUCCUCACGUUGGGUGACCGAAUGUCAUCAUCUCUCUGAAUUUUGACUGAAUGUCUGCACCUCUCUGAAUUUUUACCAGUAUGUACGUGUAACCAUUCAAUGUGAGAUAUUAGAAGAAACUGAACCAUCCAUCUUUUGUUCCAGAUGGGUGUGAUUCAGUUCCCUCUAAUCCUCACUUUGAAUGACACAAUCGUAUUCUUCGAAAAUCUGUUCUUUAUCUGUAGGCUGUAGCUACAAGUCAAUUUGCUGAAGGUGAGAUAUUGGAGGAAAACAAGCUGAUCAGUGAUCUGCUGGAGUUGUCUGAUCAUCAGUCAGUUUGCUUUCAUCCAACUCUCACUUUCAGUGCUUGACAAACACCUCAAAACUAGCUAGAACAGUACAGCUCAGGAACAACAAAACCAUACAUGUUCAGAUGCUCCACACUAAUAACCCUGCAUUGAACUCUGAAGGAAUUGCUCUGCAGCUAGACCCAAUUUAUAGCCAUCCUGGAAAUAAGUAUAUUCCUCAGAGUUGAGAAGGGCAUUUGUUUCUGUUUCAUCUGUCCUUCACGCCCAAAAUGUGUUAUGUCCUGAAAAAGAACAAUAAGCUGUCAGACUUUGUGCUCUGUACUUUGUACUAGUGAUCCUGUACAUGCAGCUUAUUCAGAUUGUGAGUUACUGGAUGAGACCAUAUCAUCUUUUUCUCUCGGAAGACUGAAAUUCUGGCCUAAGUUUCAGGUUGUGAGGAAUGGAGGUGUCAAGAGUUAACCUCUGUACUAAUUGCACAUUGUCAUACAAGAAUAUGUAUACACUAGCUUUAAUCAGUGGAUCAAAUCACACAGGCACAUCUAGUCGUUCACACAAAUUUGUUAACUUAAGAACUCAAAAUGCAUCUCAAAGCAUGCGAAUGUGACAGGCCUACACAAUUGCUUAACGAAUGACAGCUUCUAGAGAUGAGAAGUUUUUAUUUCCUGUAAAGAUUAGCAAAUUUCCAAAAAAUUGGUUUAAGCACUACAAAUGCAGAGUUUACCGAUAGAAUACUCAUUUAGGUACAUCUCGGCAUAUACAGAACAUAAGAACAUUAGACAUCGUACUUACCAUCCGAUUCCAGAAUAGCAAGGAACAAUGUUCACCUUUAUUUUUUUUAAAUUUCUUGUGGAGGUGGUAAAAAUGUAUCACAAAUUUUGUACAAGCAGCACACAUUUACAAUUUACAGACAUUGUACAAGCCAUGCAGUGACCUAGUAAAACUGCAGCGCCAUCUAUAAAAAGAAUUCAUUGCAUGCAAUUUUUUCUCUUAUACACAUAUGCAAUGCAACGAAUUCUUUUUAUAGAUAAUGCAUAGCAAUUUAUGUAAAACGAAAAUAAAUUAUAUACUUGCAAGUGUAUACGAUAGCCAUUAGACUCAAGUUUCAUAUACACAUAUUGAAAUAACGGAAAGUACAUAUGCAAUGUUGUUUAUUCAUUUUGGUUUUCUUUUUUCUAGUGUAUAGUUGUAUACAAAUUAAGGGCAAAAGGGACAUUUUCUAACAAAAUUGUUGACUAGAAAUAGCCAUAUGGCAUAUUUAGUGAGUCCAAUGAUGAUUUUAAGCCAAAACAAAUACUAAAUACUUAGAACAGCUAUAUGGAUAAAAUGAAACUUACAGGAUCAAACUGAGUCUUUGGUGAAACUUAAGGGACUAAAUUAGUUAUUCACCCAAAGAAAAACCUCAGCAAGAAACGAAUCCACCCAAGAUCCCCCCAAAGAAACCCCCACCACUUGGCACCGCAGAACCCGCCGCCGCCGCCACCGGCUCCCUUGAAGAGGGCGUCCAGCAUGUCCCCCCCGGAUGAAAUUGGCUCUCGAGAGCAAGGCUGCAUCGUGGGGAUUCGAUCUAAAUAGCAGUAGCAGCAUCAGCGGCGACGGCGGGAGGUGGGAGAUGAUGAUGAGGUGGAGGCGGCGUCGCUGCCGGUGUACACGUAGCACCUGCUCCACUUCGGGGAGGGAUCUGGGCCGUAGAUGUGGACACGUGUACGGUGGAUGGGUGGUUUGAGUUUUUUUUUCCUAAAGAAGUUUGCAUCACCGACCGAUGCUCUAAGAGCUGGUAUAAUAGCAGACUAUAAACCAGCUAUAAACACAUGUCAAUGAGAUAAAAGAAGAGAGAAGAGCAGCGGGCUACAGAUUUAUAGCCAGCUACAACACAGAUUCCAAGAUACACGUGUGUAUGAUAAGUGGGACCAGGUAUUAAUUGUGUACUAUAUGUUAUAGGUAACUAUUGUAUGAAUUGGCUAUUAAAUUGACUAUUGGAGCCAAUAGUUGGCAAUACUAUUAAACUUUCUCCAAGUACGUUUUGAUUCCAUGAUUCCCAAAUAGAACUUAGAAGAACAUGGAUUUCGGGAAAGAUCUAAGGCAACUAUUUCAACUUAGCUGCUCCUCGAUUUCUGUUAGCAUGAUUUUUAAACUGUUAAACGGUACAUUUGAAGUAUUAAACGUAGACUAAUGACAAAACAAAUUACAGAUUCCGCCUGUAAACUGCGAGACGAAUUUAUUAAGCCUAAUUAAUCCGUCAUUACCAAAUGUUUACUAUAGCAUCAUAUUGUUAAAUCAUGACGUAAUUAGGCUCAAAAGAUUCGUCUCGCAAUUUAUAUGCAAACUAAGCAAUUGGUUUUUUUUCAUCCAUAUUUAGAUAGUGUUUGAAUCUCCUGAAGAUGAAGAUUAAGUGUUUCACGCAAAACAAGAUGAUAAUAACAUAUGAUUAAUUGAAUUUUAAUUACUACAAACUUGAAAAAUGGAUUAAUCCGACAUUUUAGAGAGCAACUUUCAUAUAGAAAGUUUUCGCACAAAACAUACCGUUUAACAGUUUGAAAAACGUACACGAGUAUCGAAAAUUUCAUCUCCUCCUUGUUAGAGAAACGAACAAGCCCUUAUUGCUUCAUGUAUGUGUCCAAACAUUUGAUGUAACGAAAUUUUUUAAAGUUUGAAGGGAACUAAACACUGCCCAAGUAUCUGAAAGUCUCAUACAGGUCAGUAUCUACUGGGGUCCCUACAGUCAAAUCCAAAUCUAACUAUCAGACAGGCUACUUCUGUACAUUCAGCUACUGCCAGUGAAAGAGUCUUCAGCCUAUUCGGCCCUCGUUGGAUGCUCUGCCUCUGCCACCGAAAAAAUGGACGUGUGAUCUUGUGUUCCUGUGGGUGAUGGGGGUGGCACUUCGAGUGCUUGAGCGGCUUUGCAUCUCUUAUCUAUGCUGGCUCAGUCCGCUGUAUUUCGUCAGGAUGGAUGGGCAGUCUUCAUCGCAUCGGCGACACAUAACUUUGGUGUCGCCUAACUUUGGGGCAGACAAAUGUGUUCAUCUGGCUAUGUAUAGGGCAGAAGAACUGAGUGUGGAUUCUACUUGGCAGCAUACCAGCUCUUCGCGUACUUGGCGUCGACAGCUAGGUCAACCUUGAGGAUGUUGGUUCCAUAGAAAGGCUUGGACAUGCACUCCACAACGAUGGCCUUGGCCUCCUCGGCAGAUUCUGUAGGCCCUUCCAAGAUCACUUCAUCAUGCACCUGGCAGAUGCAGACAUAACAUUUGAGGACAAUGUACAAAUUCAUUCUGGGGAUCAAAAUAAAAUACUCUGAAAGAACACAAAACGUAGCUCUUAAAUAUGAUGUAAAUCUUUGCUUCGCCAAAUUCUUUGAAAGAAAGAAACAAUGGUGGCCCCUUUCGUCUGUGCCUUCAAAUACCAGCCUAAGUACUUCCUUUUGUAAACGUAGGAGUGUUAUUGUCAUAAACCUGCAAUAGGAGUCUCCAACCAAGCUCCUUAAGGCGAGCGUUUCUUUCUAUCUCAAGCAUUGCACACAUAGCAACAUCUGCUGCACUGCCCUAUGUAUCACAAAAGGUAGGAUUUAGACAUCCCAAAAUUGAACAAGAACAACCAUUGUGAUACAACUAAUAGGAAUUACCUGCACUGGUGCAUUUAUAGCAGCACGCUCGACGUGACUCUUUUGACCAGGACCCGCAUGAGUCAUAUUAGGAAAUUGGCGUGAUCGCCCGAGCAAAGUGUAGACUUCGCACUUCUCAAACGCAAGGGCUUUCUGCUUCUUUUGCCAAGCUGAAAUUUCCUUUCUAUCCCUAUGCCAAAGUUUGAGUGUAUCCCUUGCUUCCCUAACUUCAACCUGCCAACACAAUAAGCUACAACUCUGGAACUGAACUGAUUGUAACAAAACAUUUACUGAAUAAUACUCCUAUGUGACAUCAUGUUGUGUACAAAAACAAGAUGAAACCCAACAAGAAAAACUGAACAAGGGAAUAUGAUAAAUGCAUGCACAAGCCUGUACAAAUAGAAGCCCAUACAUUCCAAUCCUGAGAUAGACCAACAGCAGUCUUCCCAUAUGCAAUGGAGAAAUUGAGCAUUUUGGCCUUCCUCCUCUCAGCGCCAAAAGCAUCCUAAAAAAAUAGAAAUAGAAACAUCAAGUUUGGUUUAACUCCAUACCUAUUAGUAUAUAGCCUUAUACCAUUCUACCGGGGGUCCAGAUAUAUAUAAAAAAAUAAAUACAUAUGGAAUAUGUAUGCCAAAUAACAAUUGAUAAAAAGCACUAUAUGCAACUUGCCAACUUCUUCAAAGCAGAAAGAAAACAUGAGGCCCUAACAUAUAUUUGUAUGACAAGUGAGGUUAUCAAAAUUAAAUUCGACACUUUUUUGUGUAAUGAAGUCAUGUUAUCCGACAAAUUAUGUGGAGCACUAGGCACAACUGUCACAGAAUUCACAUGUUCAAAUUUCUUUAAAAAAAAUGCAACAAAGAUAUAUUUCUCAAUAACUAAAAGAAUUAAAAUUUGACUGAAUGAACUACAAAUGAAGGUAAUCAUAUUCCAUCUUAUCACAAUAAGCAAACAGGACCAAAAUCUUACGUAAUUCAAAUGAAAUCAAAUCAAGUACAACUUCGAGAGAUAAGCUGCUGUCAGAAAAAGUUAGUGAUACUCAAGUACCUUCAAUAAUGGCACUGGGGGUUUGUCUUGACCUGGUUGAGGAUGCCAUUCAAGCAGAACUUUCUUUUCUUCAACAGCAUCACGAACAUGCUGGUACAUAUUCAUGGCUGUCCUAGAAUGAAAGUCACCACCAGCCUUGAAAGCUUCCAGCAUGCUUUUACAAUUAGUAAGAUGCGCCAAGAUCCUCAGUUCCAGCUACAUAAAAAAGGAAGACCUUUUAUCAGGUGGAACUGCUAAGUGAAGUAAAAAAAAAAAAAAACUUACUAUUGAGAACCACGAAGCAUACUUGGCCAUAAUCAGCAACAAUAAGAGUGUUCCCUGGAGCUGCGACAAAAGCUUGGCGAAUCUUGUACCUAUCCUUUUCAAGAGCAGGUUGAUUCUGCAAGGAAGAUAACUUAGUUCAAAAAAAAAUAAAAUUUACAUAAACGAUAUAGCACCACUCUAACAAUAAAAACUGAUGCAUUUGUCAGAAGUAAUAACAAAUUUAGCAAGGGUCCAAAUACCCUUGAUGAUGAAGCAUGGUAAUAAUCAAAUAUCCUGAAAUAGCAGACAGCUUAUUGACUAAAUGAAUAAUUCAAAUGUGCGUCCUGAAGCCUGAGGUUGGCUACACAAAAUAAGUUUGCCGGAUGGUGAGCCAUUUCAUCAUUCCUAAUUUAUAUUGCCAAUUUGCCAUGUUUGUUUUUCCUUUCAUUCUCCUAUCCAUUGAUGAAUGAAUAAAAUGAUUAUGGAGUAUCAUACUUCUACAGAGCAUUUUAUUUAUAUUGCAACUGGUGAACGCUGAAGUUUGAAGCUAACAUUAGUUCCUGUGCUUUAUGAAAAAUCGAAAUUGAUAGCAUAUGCAAACUAAAGCAGUCCACAAAGUAUCCCAUCUGUAGCGGUCAGUGGCAAGUUGAUGCAAAUAAGAAUGCAUGCAUAUACUCUGGAAAACACUCAUACAGUGACUCUGUGGAACAGCAGUCUUAUACUGCUUACAUACACAGUGGUAGAACACACUCAAACCAGGCAAAAGUCAGUGAGAAGGAGCCGACACCAA